This 63-nucleotide transfer RNA is filed under the name Podarcis lilfordi (Lilford's wall lizard). Its description in RNAcentral is "tRNA.Undet". The record is from RNAcentral. Lineage: Eukaryota; Metazoa; Chordata; Lepidosauria; Squamata; Lacertidae.
GGAGGACUGUAGCUCAGUGGCAGAGCAUGCAGAAAGUCCCAGGUUCAAUUCCCGGCAUCUCCA